This 777-nucleotide ribosomal RNA is filed under the name uncultured Neocallimastigales. RNAcentral describes it as "partial large subunit ribosomal RNA". It matches the Rfam family "Eukaryotic large subunit ribosomal RNA", at positions 23 to 647 of the family's 3401-position model. Lineage: Eukaryota; Fungi; Neocallimastigomycota; Neocallimastigomycetes; Neocallimastigales. The record is from RNAcentral.
AGAGAGAGACAUGCGCGCAUAUCAAUAAGCGGAGGAAAAGAAACUAACAAGGAUUCCCUUAGUAACGGCGAGUGAAGCGGGAAGAGCUCAAAUUUGAAAUCUUCAAGGGUUCUACCUUUACGAAUUGUAGUUUAAAGAAGUGUUUUCUGUUGGAGUUUCGGUAAAAGUUCUUUGGAAUAGGACAUCAUAGAGGGUGAGAAUCCCGUAUUUGACCGUUACUUUCCAGCUGUGUGAUACACUCUCAAAGAGUCGGAUUGUUUGGGAAUGCAGUCCAAAAUGGGUGGUAAAUUUCAUCUAAAGCUAAAUAUUGGCGAGAGACCGAUAGCGAACAAGUACCGUGAGGGAAAGAUGAAAAGAACUUUGAAAAGAGAGUUAAACAGUACGUGAAAUUGUCAAAAGGGAAGCGUUUGACACCAGUGUUGUUUUUCUCGAAAAUCAAUUACGAAUGUUUUGUUUUUGAGGAGUUAUGACUUCAUCGGCUUGCUUCUUUCUUUACGAAACUUUCUUAAUGCACUUUUCGGUUAACAAGUCAACAUCAAUUUCUUUUGUUGUAAAAGGGUAUGAGGAAGGUGGCUUUCUCUUCGGAGAAAGUGUUUAUAGCCUUGUACCUCUGCAAUCGGAGAGAUUGAGGUCUGCAGCGUAGACUCUUCGGGGUUAGAUACACUUGUGCUAAGCUAUAGCCUUGUAUAGACAACUUGUUGACUAUGCUCAGUCAUGUAGCUUACUCGCUUGUGCUAUUUUACCUACGCUUAGGAUGUUGAUCUGUAGUGCGUGCGC